GGGGAUGUAAAUGGUUUCGACAGUAAUUAUGAAUUAUAAGUAGCAAGUAGUGGAUGGUCGCUUUGGCCACUAUAAAAAAGCGAAAAUAAAAAUAAACGCUGAUAAUAAAACAGAAUUAGCAUACGCUGCUUAAUUGUAGCGACAUCUUACCUUAAAUCCCACAUUUAAGGAUAAGGUGAUGACUUUGUGGGAAACAAAUCUAUUUUGUGUUUCGAAAAAUAGAGGGUAUUUUAGAAACUACUAUAUAUAAACUUUGUUUGUUAAGUAGAUAUAUAGGAAAAAUAAUAACAAACUAAACUUGUAGAAGCUUGUAAGGAAAAAUUAUUGGACAGGAGUUCGACUCUCCUCAUCUCCACCA
RNAcentral lists this transfer-messenger RNA (358 nucleotides) under Clostridia. Its description in RNAcentral is "HGM13634 sp900770385 Standard tmRNA". It matches the Rfam family "transfer-messenger RNA". From Rfam's summary of the family: Bacterial tmRNA, also known as 10Sa RNA or SsrA, is named for its dual tRNA and mRNA-like properties. Its role is to liberate the mRNA from a stalled ribosome. Lineage: Bacteria; Bacillati; Bacillota. The record is from RNAcentral. RNAcentral also lists the same sequence under 1 other name.